CCUACGGGUGGCAGCAGUGAGGAAUAUUGGUCAAUGGACGAAAGUCUGAACCAGCCAUGUAGCGUGCAGGAUGACUGCUCUAUGAGUUGUAAACUGCUUUUAUAUUAGGGUAAACACCCCUACGUGUACGGGCUUGAAAGUAUAAUAUGAAUAAGGAUCGGCUAACUCCGUGCCAGCAGCCGCGGUAAUACGGAGGAUCCAAGCGUUAUCCGGAUUUAUUGGGUUUAAAGGGUGCGUAGGCGGUUUGAUAAGUUAGAGGUGAAAGUCCGGUGCUCAACCCCGGAACUGCCUCUAAUACUGUUGGACUAGAGAGUAGUUGCGGUAGGCGGAAUGUAUGGUGUAGCGGUGAAAUGCUUAGAGAUCAUACAGAACACCGAUUGCGAAGGCAGCUUACCAAACUAUAUCUGACGUUGAGGCACGAAAGCGUGGGUAGCAAACAGGAUUAGAUACCCGAGUAGUC
RNAcentral lists this ribosomal RNA (460 nucleotides) under uncultured bacterium. Its description in RNAcentral is "partial 16S ribosomal RNA". It matches the Rfam family "Bacterial small subunit ribosomal RNA", at positions 338 to 795 of the family's 1533-position model. The record is from RNAcentral.